CCUACGGGAGGCAGCAGUGGGGAAUAUUGCACAAUGGGGGAAACCCUGAUGCAGCGACGCCGCGUGAGCGAUGAAGUAUUUCGGUAUGUAAAGCUCUAUCAGCAGGGAAGAAAAUGACGGUACCUGACUAAGAAGCCCCGGCUAACUACGUGCCAGCAGCCGCGGUAAUACGUAGGGGGCAAGCGUUAUCCGGAUUUACUGGGUGGAAAGGGAGCGUAGACGGUCCUGCAAGCCAGAGGUGAAAGCCCGGGGCUCAACCCCGGGACUGCAUUUGGAACUGUAAGGCUAGAGUGUCGGAGAGGCAGGCGGAAUUCCUAGUGUAGCGGUGAAAUGCGUAGAUAUUAGGAGGAACACCAGUGGCGAAGGCGGCCUGCUGGACGAUGACUGACGUUGAGGCUCGAAAGCGUGGGGAGCAAACAGGAUUAGAUACCCGUGUAGUC
This 440-nucleotide ribosomal RNA is filed under the name uncultured bacterium. RNAcentral's name for it is "partial 16S ribosomal RNA". It matches the Rfam family "Bacterial small subunit ribosomal RNA", at positions 338 to 795 of the family's 1533-position model. The record is from RNAcentral.